Molecule: long non-coding RNA, 322 nt
Organism: Apis mellifera (honey bee)
Lineage: Eukaryota; Metazoa; Arthropoda; Insecta; Hymenoptera; Apidae
Exons: 2
Source: RefSeq, a predicted model, not a curated record
UUGCAUAAUGCUCAGCAUAAAAUGCACUUACUAUAAUAAAAAUUAUAUUAAUUUUUUAUAAAAAAAAUGUAUAAAGAUUCUAAUAAACAAACAAAACUUACUAGGAGGAUGAUGAGAUACUUGUUCAGCAAUAAAUGAAAGCUGAUUUUCUUUGCACCAAGCCACUCCUGACUUACGACCUGCAUGGAAACUGCAUAAAUACCAACGAACUACUUGAACCAUCCUAUCUUUAGGAGUAGGCAUAUCUGCUAUGCUAAAAUGUACAAUAUUGUAAUAUAUUUAUUAUAAAAGUUUAAUAAAUUUAUAAAAAAUUUUUACUAAA